Long non-coding RNA from Arabidopsis thaliana (thale cress), 244 nucleotides. RefSeq annotates it as other RNA. The transcript has a single exon. The record is from RefSeq. NCBI's taxonomy places the organism in Eukaryota, Viridiplantae, Streptophyta, Magnoliopsida, Brassicales, Brassicaceae.
AUGAUUCCGAGAAUCAAUUGCAAAGGGAAUAUAUGAACUAUAACUUUUUAGUAUAGUUUCCUAUAUGUUCAUACGUCUCAGUAUCUAACAAGGAAUCUCUUAGCUAACAGAUAGGUCUCAGCGUAUUAAGAGGCACAUUUUAAUCCACAAUAUAACUACGUAUCUACCUUCCUAGAGUACAGUCGUACAGAGAGAGUAAUGAGUCUCAAACUAAGUAGUACAUAACCUAAGCAGGGAUUUGUAA